Molecule: ribosomal RNA, 253 nt
Filed under: uncultured bacterium
Lineage: Bacteria
Description: partial 16S ribosomal RNA
Rfam family: Bacterial small subunit ribosomal RNA
Source: RNAcentral
UACUUAGGGUGCAAGCGUUAAUCGGAAUUACUGGGCGUAAAGCGUGCGCAGGCGGUUUUGUAAGUCUGUCGUGAAAGCCCCGGGCUCAACCUGGGAAUUGCGAUGGAGACUGCAAGGCUUGAAUCUGGCAGAGGGGGGUAGAAUUCCACGUGUAGCAGUGAAAUGCGUAGAGAUGUGGAGGAACACCGAUGGCGAAGGCAGCCCCCUGGGUCAAGAUUGACGCUCAUGCACGAAAGCGUGGGGAGCAAACAGG